This 465-nucleotide ribosomal RNA is filed under the name uncultured bacterium. RNAcentral's name for it is "partial 16S ribosomal RNA". It matches the Rfam family "Bacterial small subunit ribosomal RNA", at positions 339 to 795 of the family's 1533-position model. The record is from RNAcentral.
CUACGGGUCGCUGCAGUGGGGAAUAUUGGACAAUGGGGGGAACCCUGAUCCAGCCAUGCCGCGUGUGUGAAGAAGGCCUUUUGGUUGUAAAGCACUUUAAGCAGUGAAGAAGACUCUUCGGUUAAUACCCGGGGACGAUGACAUUAGCUGCAGAAUAAGCACCGGCUAACUCUGUGCCAGCAGCCGCGGUGAAUACAGAGGGUGCAAGCGUUAAUCGGAAUUACUGGGCGUAAAGCGAGCGUAGGUGGCUUGAUAAGUCAGAUGUGAAAUCCCCGGGCUUAACCUGGGAACUGCAUCUGAAACUGUUAGGCUAGAGUAGGUGAGAGGGAAGUAGAAUUUCAGGUGUAGCGGUGAAAUGCGUAGAGAUCUGAAGGAAUACCGAUGGCGAAGGCAGCUUCCUGGCAUCAUACUGACACUGAGGCUCGAAAGCGUGGGUAGCAAACAGGAUUAGAUACCCGGGUAGUC